UGAGGUUAAGUUAACAAGGGCGCAUGGUGAAUGCCUUGGCACUAGGAGCCGAUGAAGGACGGGACUAACACCGAUAUGCUUCGGGGAGCUGUACGUAAGCUAUGAUCCGGAGAUUUCCGAAUGGGGCAACCCAGCAGUUUUAAUCAACUGUUACCACUAGAUGAAUUCAUAGUCUAGUUGGAGGUAAACGCUGUGAACUGAAACAUCUUAUUAGCAGCAGGAAUAUAAAGAAAUUUCGAUUCCCUAAGUAGCGGCGAGCG
This 260-nucleotide ribosomal RNA is filed under the name Lactiplantibacillus plantarum. RNAcentral describes it as "Lactobacillus plantarum partial 23S ribosomal RNA". It matches the Rfam family "Bacterial large subunit ribosomal RNA", at positions 1 to 255 of the family's 2925-position model. Lineage: Bacteria; Bacillati; Bacillota; Bacilli; Lactobacillales; Lactobacillaceae. The record is from RNAcentral.